RNAcentral lists this ribosomal RNA (520 nucleotides) under uncultured Glomus. RNAcentral describes it as "SSU rRNA". It matches the Rfam family "Eukaryotic small subunit ribosomal RNA", at positions 569 to 1089 of the family's 1831-position model. The record is from RNAcentral. Lineage: Eukaryota; Fungi; Glomeromycota; Glomeromycetes; Glomerales; Glomeraceae.
AGCAGCCGCGGUAAUUCCAGCUCCAAUAGCGUAUAUUAAAGUUGUUGCAGUUAAAAAGCUCGUAGUUGAAUUUCGGGAUCAAAUUGUCGGUCGUGCUUCGGUACGUACUGGCGUCAUUGAUUUCUCCCUUCUGACGAACCAUGAUGUCAUUAACUUGGUGUCAUGGGAAAUCAGGACUGUUACUUUGAAAAAAAUUAGAGUGUUUAAAGCAAGCUAACGCUUGAAUACAUUAGCAUGGAGUAAUGAAAUAGGACGUUCGAUCCUAUUUUUGUUGGUUUCUAGGAUUGACGUAAUGAUUAAUAGGGAUAGUUGGGGGCAUUAGUAUUCAAUUGUCAGAGGUGAAAUUCUUGGAUUUAUUGAAGACUAACUACUGCGAAAGCAUUUGCCAAGGAUGUUUUCAUUAAUCAAGAACGAAAGUUAGGGGAUCGAAGACGAUCAGAUACCGUCGUAGUCUUAACCAUAAACUAUGCCGACUAGGGAUCGGAUGAUGUUAAUUUUAUAAUGACUCAUUCGGCGCCUU